GACAGAGGGUGCAAACGUUGCUCGGAAUCACUGGGCGUAAAGGGCGUGUAGGCGGGCAGGAAAGUCAGAUGUGAGAUCCCUGGGCUCAACCCAGGAACUGCAUUUGAAACUCCCUUUCUUGAGUGUCGGAGAGGAAAGCGGAAUUCCUGGUGUAGAGGUGAAAUUCGUAGAUAUCAGGAGGAACACCGGUGGCGAAGGCGGCUUUCUGGACGACAACUGACGCUGAGACGCGAAAGCGUGGGGAGCAAACGGG
RNAcentral lists this ribosomal RNA (253 nucleotides) under uncultured bacterium. RNAcentral describes it as "partial 16S ribosomal RNA". It matches the Rfam family "Bacterial small subunit ribosomal RNA", at positions 524 to 776 of the family's 1533-position model. The record is from RNAcentral.